RNAcentral lists this ribosomal RNA (253 nucleotides) under uncultured archaeon. RNAcentral describes it as "partial 16S ribosomal RNA". It matches the Rfam family "Archaeal small subunit ribosomal RNA", at positions 474 to 727 of the family's 1478-position model. The record is from RNAcentral.
AACCAGCACCUCAAGUGGUCAGGAUGAUUAUUGGGCCUAAAGCAUCCGUAGCCGGCUCUGUAAGUUUUCGGUUAAAUCUAUACGCUCAACGUAUAGGCUGCCGAAAAUACUGUAGAGAUAGGGAGUGGGAGAGGUAGACGGUACUCGGUAGGAAGGGGUAAAAUCCUUUGAUCUAUCGAUGACCACCUGUGGCGAAGGCGGUCUACCAGAACACGUUCGACGGUGAGGGAUGAAAGCUGGGGGAGCAAACCGG